GAGGGUAUAGCUCAGUGGUAGAGUGUGUGCUUGAUGUGUACAAAGUCCUGGGUUCAAUCUCCAGUACCUUCA
Molecule: transfer RNA, 72 nt
Filed under: Vicugna pacos (alpaca)
Lineage: Eukaryota; Metazoa; Chordata; Mammalia; Artiodactyla; Camelidae
Description: tRNA-Ile (GAT) (tRNA-Ile-GAT-2-1)
Rfam family: tRNA
About the family: Transfer RNA (tRNA) molecules are approximately 80 nucleotides in length.
Source: Rfam by way of RNAcentral